Molecule: unclassified non-coding RNA, 334 nt
Filed under: soil metagenome
Description: partial contains 5.8S ribosomal RNA, internal transcribed spacer 2, and large subunit ribosomal RNA
Rfam family: 5.8S ribosomal RNA (bases 1-120)
Source: RNAcentral
GAUGAAGAACGUAGCGAAAUGCGAUAAGUAGUGUGAAUUGCAGAAUUCAGUGAAUCAUCGAAUCUUUGAACGCACAUUGCGCCCCUUGGUAUUCCAUGGGGCAUGCCUGUUCGAGCGUCAUUUGUACCUUCAAGCUCUGCUUGGUGUUGGGUGAUUAUCUAUCUUUAUAGACUCGCCUUAAAGUCAUUGGCAGCCGGCAUAUUGGCCUGGGAGCGCAGCACAAGUCGCGCUUCUUGUCAUGAAUGUUGGCGUCCAGUAAGUCUACAUAUUUUGCUCUUGACCUCGGAUCAGGUAGGGAUACCCGCUGAACUUAAGCAUAUCAAUAAGCGGAGGA